This is a long non-coding RNA of Tripterygium wilfordii, 2231 nucleotides long. RefSeq lists it as uncharacterized. The transcript is spliced from 10 exons. Lineage: Eukaryota; Viridiplantae; Streptophyta; Magnoliopsida; Celastrales; Celastraceae. The record is from RefSeq and is a predicted model, not a curated record.
GGGAAACGAAGUUCGUAACUACUAACUAGGGUUUACGAAAUUGUUCAAAUUGUUAUGGAGGCCUGUGGUUUGCAGUUUCGAAUUGCCAACUACGUCACUAGAACUGAUCGGAAGGAACUGGUAUUAUUAGCACUUUUCGAAUUGCCAAUUCCAUCACGAGAAGAACUGAUCGGAAGGAACUGGUACUAGUAGCGCUGUAAGUAGUCGGGAAGAUUCAAAGAUAACAAUAAGGAAACCGUCACUGCCUAAAAUAGUCCAUCUGGGACAGAUCACUAAGCAGAGGAAGAUCCGAUUCGAAAAAACUAAUGCUAGCAGCACUGUAAGUGGUCGUAUUGAUGGAAACUAAACAAUAUGGCGAUGGGACUUGGUAGAGUGAGAUUCCGGGUUUGUUUGAGGGAUUCAAUUCCUUGGCGGCGUUCGCUUCUCCCACUCUGACAUGGCCUAUUCUUAUUCUGGUGUUUCUCAACCUCACUUCCUCUGUCUUAGUUAACUAGUGUUUUGUCAUUUGGUGAACAACUAUUGUUUCGUUGGCAACCUGAGACAUUCCAAUUGAUGUCUUGCCUGCUCUACCAUCCAAAACUGUUGUUGAAGACAUCUGAUAUUUCGUAAAUGUGAGCCAUAUAUAUUGGACUUGAAGAAUUUCUUCAGUUCCUUGUCAACUAGGAAAAGGCGAAAGGAAGAAGACUAAGAAAGACAAUCAACUUUAACUUACUUCUCCGUGCGAGCAAAGGAUAUUGUCUUCUAAAACUCACCUAUUUUCUUGCUGACAUUUUGGUUACAUCAUUUAAUUUUGACAUAAAAAAAAAAACUCGCCUAUAUAUUUUCAUUGCUCUCAUAGUAUAAAUAUUUGCUGCCGCAGGCCAGUGAGGUGAGAUUUGUUACUGAAUGCUUUACAACACAUACAGUCAGCUCUUAUUAAGAGUUCAGAAACUCUAUGGCCCAUCUGUUCUGACUUCUGAUCCAGAUGAUCGGACCUUGCAUAAAAUUUCAAGUCUGUGGAAUAGGUCUUCAGGCGCUUACGCUUUGGGUAGUUUGCUUAACUCCAUAGGCUUCUCAGAUUGGGGGAGCAUUUGUUCUGGGAAUUGGAUUUCGAUGCUUGAAGAAUACCUGACAAAUGAAGAUGGAUGAGUGGUGGUAGGUCUAUUGACGUAUGAAAUCCCAACAAUUGAUAUUUGACACCAUACCUAGACCGUUCAAUGUUGAAGUCAUGAAUAGCGGCAUCACCAAAAACACAUUCUCUCUUCAAAAUGUAUGUCUGUCCUUCCAAGUUCCAACUUCAUGUAAAGACAAUUAUAUAGGCCCCCAUAAAACUACCUCUCUGUAUUGUGGGUUUCCCUACUUUCUAACAUAUGCCUUUUCUCUUGACUAGAAAGUAUUGUACUGUUAAAAAAUGCCUCAGGUUAACUAGUGUUUCUUCUGGUGGACGAAUUGUUGUUUGAGGGAAUCAAUUCCUUGGCGGUGUUCGCUUCUCCCACUCCGACAUCGCCUCCUCCUAUUCUUGUCUUUCUGAAUCCCACUUCCCCUGUCUUAGUGGAUGGUUCGAAACUUUUGUACACAGGAUUACGAACAGCUCUUUGUGUUUUUCAGUGUACUGUGCAGCUUUGGUAGGGCCUAUGAACUGCUGUUUCUUAUGUUCCAGAUGUACUUAUAUCCAUGAAGGAAGGUGAAGCACUUUUAACUUUUCAAUGAUUAUCAAAGGGGCAUAUAACUUUUGAGUUAGCAAUGUGACCAAGUAUGUGCAUGCAGUUUUAAGUGAUUGUAAAUGAUUAUUUAGGAGCUUCAAUCAUUGAUUUGGUUGGUAUGAGGUAUUUGUUAAUUUCUUUACUAGCUGAGCUAACCAAGAUAAUUUGUUGAUUGUAGCAUUUAUUUGUCAACAUGUUUUCUAGUUAUGUUGACAUCUGAUAUUGUGCAUAUAUGAAUGAGUGUAUGUGUGCUUUCCCUCUCUCAACAUUGCAGCGCUCAGAUCUAAAGGAAGGUAAUAUAGUUUCCCAUGAAGCCAAAGCAGUGCCAAUCCAUUUAAGCGCAAGAUACUACCUAACGUUGGAGGACAUAGGCUGAGCAGUGUCUUUCUGGGUUUAUCUUGAAUAAGGCUCAGUAGUAAGACCAAAACCAAAGGGGAAGAGUGGUUCAUAGUGAGCAUCACCAACAUUCAUUGGUAGCUGAUCAACUGUUUUAAACCAUGUCCGGGCAAGCUUUCCGGUGAAUCCAUAGUCCCCGAACAGAACAUCAGC